This 305-nucleotide ribosomal RNA is filed under the name uncultured bacterium. Its description in RNAcentral is "partial 16S ribosomal RNA". It matches the Rfam family "Bacterial small subunit ribosomal RNA", at positions 505 to 807 of the family's 1533-position model. The record is from RNAcentral.
ACAGCAGUCGCCACGGUAAUGCGUAGGUGGCAAGCGUUGUCCGGAAUUAUUGGGCGUAAAGGGCUCGCAGGCGGUUUCUUAAGCCUGAUGUGAGAGCCCCCGGCUCAACCGGGGAGGGUCAUUGGAAACUGGGAAACUUGAGUGCAGAAGAGGAGAGUGGAAUUCCACGUGUAGCGGUGAAAUGCGUAGAGAUGUGGAGGAACACCAGUGGCGAAGGCGACUCUCUGGUCUGUAACUGACGCUGAGGAGCGAAAGCGUGGGGAGCGAACAGGAUUAGAUACCCGCGUAGUCCCUGUCUCUUAUAC